This 471-nucleotide ribosomal RNA is filed under the name uncultured organism. RNAcentral describes it as "partial 16S ribosomal RNA". It matches the Rfam family "Bacterial small subunit ribosomal RNA", at positions 335 to 797 of the family's 1533-position model. The record is from RNAcentral.
ACUCCUACGGGAGGCAGCAGUGGGGAAUUUUGGACAAUGGGCGAAAGCCUGAUCCAGCAAUGCCGCGUGAGUGAAGAAGGCCUUCGGGUUGUAAAGCUCUUUUGUCAGGGAAGAAACGGUGAAAGCUAAUAUCUUUUGCUAAUGACGGUACCUGAAGAAUAAGCACCGGCUAACUACGUGCCAGCAGCCGCGGUAAUACGUAGGGUGCAAGCGUUAAUCGGAAUUACUGGGCGUAAAGCGUGCGCAGGCGGUUUUGUAAGUCUGAUGUGAAAUCCCCGGGCUCAACCUGGGAAUUGCAUUGGAGACUGCAAGGCUAGAAUCUGGCAGAGGGGGGUAGAAUUCCACGUGUAGCAGUGAAAUGCGUAGAUAUGUGGAGGAACACCGAUGGCGAAGGCAGCCCCCUGGGUCAAGAUUGACGCUCAUGCACGAAAGCGUGGGGAGCAAACAGGAUUAGAUACCCUAGUAGUCCCA